RNAcentral lists this unclassified non-coding RNA (306 nucleotides) under plant metagenome. RNAcentral's name for it is "partial contains 5.8S ribosomal RNA, internal transcribed spacer 2, and large subunit ribosomal RNA". The stretch from base 1 to 105 matches the Rfam family "5.8S ribosomal RNA", at positions 50 to 154 of the family's 154-position model. The record is from RNAcentral.
GAAAUGCGAUAAGUAAUGUGAAUUGCAGAAUUCAGUGAAUCAUCGAAUCUUUGAACGCACAUUGCGCCCGCCAGUAUUCUGGCGGGCAUGCCUGUCCGAGCGUCAUUUCAACCAUCAAGCCCCCGGGCUUGUGUUGGGGACCUGCGGCUGUCCGCAGGCCCUGAAAACCAGUGGCGGGCUCGCUGUCACACCGAGCGUAGUAGCAAUCACCUCGCUCAGGGCGUGCUGCGGGUUCCGGCCGUUAAACAGCCUUACAAAACCCAAGGUUGACCUCGGAUCAGGUAGGAAGACCCGCUGAACUUAAGC